Molecule: long non-coding RNA, 1039 nt
Filed under: Bos indicus x Bos taurus (hybrid cattle)
Lineage: Eukaryota; Metazoa; Chordata; Mammalia; Artiodactyla; Bovidae
Description: lncRNA (ENSBIXG00000028645.1)
Source: RNAcentral
GCAGCCCUGGAGUCUCAGGAUCAAGAAAUCAAAGCUGGAAAUUCCCUGGUGGUCCAGUGUUUAGAACUCCAUGCUUCUACUGCAGGGGGCACGUGUUCAAUCCCUGGUCAGGGAUGUAAGAUCCUGCACAAAGCAGUAAAAAGAGAAAGAAAGAAAGAAAUCUGAGCAAGGCUCUGUCUGAUCACACCUCUCCCCACACGGACAGUGACAAAGUUUCCCUCCUAUCGUCUGUCCUAGACCUUGAAGGCCCUUUCUGGCAAGGAAGCAAGGAAGCCCUUAUUUGUGGAGAGCAGAGCCCUUUAUAAAAGGCCUUUCACUGAGGACAGCAGGAUUUAAUCAGAUUGUCCUGGGUGGGGUAGUGGCGAUAAGGCUAAUAAACAAGCCACAGAGCAUGUUCAAGUCAUGAAACUCUCCCCGGGAGGGCACUGGAAGGCCUCCCAGAAGAGGAGGGCUUCUUUAGCCUUUUAGGGGGAAACUGGUUGUUCCUCUUCUACUAAAGAAUCCUCCACUCUUCAAAGAGGAUGAGGAGAGAGGAGGGACUGGGACGUAGCUUCCAGUCGGAGCUCUGGCCUCCGCUGUGUGACCUGUGCUUGGGCUUUCUGUAAAAGUCGCGUGAGGAAAACCUACCUGGGAGUUCAAAGCACCAAGUUCUGGAAUCCUAGUGCUGGAAAGGAGGCUGAAGAUUAUCCAGGCCCAUUUUCUCAUUUCAUGUUGAGGAAACUGAGACCCAGAGAAGCCAUAAGCCAUAUGGGAUCUUAGCUCCCUGACCAGGGAUCAAGCCUGCACCCGCUGUGUUAGAAGGUGAAGUCUUAACCGCCAGGAUCUACCAGGGAAGUCCCUUGACGACAUUUUAGAGAAUCUCUAUUUAGGUUAGCUAACAUCAGUGUCUACUGUUGCCAACAGAACUCUGACUCACACCCACCUCAACCUUGCUUUUUAUUCAAUCACUUAAUCUAAACUACUGUAAAGUAAUGAUCUAUAAAGUAAGAUAAUAAUAAUGUGUAAUAAAAAUAUUAUGUAAUAAAUGUGAAGAAAGAUA